GACGAACGCUGGCGGCGUGCUUAACACAUGCCAGUCGAACGGAAAGGCCCUGCUUUUGUGGGGUGCUCGAGUGGCGAACGGGUGAGUAACACGUGAGUAACCUGCCCUUUACUUUGGGAUAACUUCAGUAAACUGGUGCUAAUACCGGAUAGGAGCUCCUGCUGCAUGGUGGGGGUUGGAAAGUUUCGGCGGUUGGGGAUGGACUCGCGGCUUAUCAUCUUGUUGGUGGGGUAGUGGCUUACCAAGGCUUUGACGGGUAGCCGGCCUGAGAGGGUGACAGGAAACAUUGGGACUGAGAUACGGCCCAGACUCAUACGGGAGGCAGCAGUGGGGAAUAGUGCACAAUGGGCGGAAGCCUGAUGCAGCAACGCCGCGUGCGGGAUGACGGCCUUCGGGUUGUAAACCGCUUUCGCCUGUGACGAAGCGUGAGUGACGGUAAUGGGUAAAGAAGCACCGGCUAACUACGUG
This 468-nucleotide ribosomal RNA is filed under the name uncultured bacterium. RNAcentral describes it as "partial 16S ribosomal RNA". It matches the Rfam family "Bacterial small subunit ribosomal RNA", at positions 28 to 507 of the family's 1533-position model. The record is from RNAcentral.